RNAcentral lists this transfer RNA (73 nucleotides) under Saimiri boliviensis boliviensis (Bolivian squirrel monkey). RNAcentral describes it as "tRNA-Lys (TTT) (tRNA-Lys-TTT-3-1)". It matches the Rfam family "tRNA". From Rfam's summary of the family: Transfer RNA (tRNA) molecules are approximately 80 nucleotides in length. Their secondary structure includes four short double-helical elements and three loops (D, anti-codon, and T loops). Lineage: Eukaryota; Metazoa; Chordata; Mammalia; Primates; Cebidae. The record is from Rfam by way of RNAcentral.
GCCUGGAUAGCUCAGUCGGUAGAGCAUCAGACUUUUAAUCUGAGGGUCCAGGGUUCGAGCCCCUGUUCAGGCG